AUAAGUUCCGCCCUCUACCUUCGUCACAUCCUCUUUCCGUUGCUCUCCUCGCUCAGAGAAUCUCUCCACACGAUGAGAGCCAAGUGGAGGAAGAAGCGUAUGCGCAGGCUGAAGCGUAAAAGGAGAAAGAUGAGGCAGAGGUCAAAGUAAGCCCUCAUCCCCGCCAGCUGUGAUCCUGUCGGAGCCUCUCCAGAUGACUGACGCAUGUGGCUGAAGUGGAGCCUCCAUCACUGGAACGAAGGCCUAAAGCCCUGACUUCAGAUGACAGCGCAUCUCAUGGAGCCUGCUGUGAACGUCUGACGGGAAGAGGCAAAGAUGCUGGACCAACUCUGAACAUCAGAACUACAGCUGUCUUGUUCAUGGACCAUAAUACAUUUUGUUCAGCAACAACUGAUGUGGUGGUGUAUUGAACAAUAAAUGAACACUGUUAAAAAUUUA
Long non-coding RNA from Epinephelus fuscoguttatus (brown-marbled grouper), 438 nucleotides. RefSeq lists it as uncharacterized. The record is from RefSeq and is a predicted model, not a curated record. The transcript has 4 exons. Lineage: Eukaryota; Metazoa; Chordata; Actinopteri; Perciformes; Serranidae.